This 687-nucleotide ribosomal RNA is filed under the name uncultured Limnohabitans sp. Its description in RNAcentral is "bacterial SSU rRNA". It matches the Rfam family "Bacterial small subunit ribosomal RNA", at positions 147 to 829 of the family's 1533-position model. Lineage: Bacteria; Pseudomonadati; Pseudomonadota; Betaproteobacteria; Burkholderiales; Comamonadaceae. The record is from RNAcentral.
CGUAGCGAAAGCUACGCUAAUACCGCAUACGAUCUACGGAUGAAAGCGGGGGAUCGCAAGACCUCGCGCGAUUGGAGCGGCCGAUAUCAGAUUAGGUAGUUGGUGGGGUAAAGGCUCACCAAGCCAACGAUCUGUAGCUGGUCUGAGAGGACGACCAGCCACACUGGAACUGAGACACGGUCCAGACUCCUACGGGAGGCAGCAGUGGGGAAUUUUGGACAAUGGACGCAAGUCUGAUCCAGCCAUUCCGCGUGCAGGAUGAAGGCCCUCGGGUUGUAAACUGCUUUUGUACGGAACGAAAAGGUCUCUCUUAAUACGAGGAGCUCAUGACGGUACCGUAAGAAUAAGCACCGGCUAACUACGUGCCAGCAGCCGCGGUAAUACGUAGGGUGCAAGCGUUAAUCGGAAUUACUGGGCGUAAAGCGUGCGCAGGCGGUUAUAUAAGUCAGAUGUGAAAUCCCCGGGCUCAACCUGGGAACUGCAUUUGUGACUGUAUAGCUAGAGUACGGCAGAGGGGGAUGGAAUUCCGCGUGUAGCAGUGAAAUGCGUAGAUAUGCGGAGGAACACCGAUGGCGAAGGCAAUCCCCUGGGCCUGCACUGACGCUCAUGCACGAAAGCGUGGGGAGCAAACAGGAUUAGAUACCCUGGUAGUCCACGCCCUAAACGAUGUCAACUGGUUGUUGGGUC